This 628-nucleotide ribosomal RNA is filed under the name Leptolyngbya sp. FB10. RNAcentral describes it as "bacterial SSU rRNA". It matches the Rfam family "Bacterial small subunit ribosomal RNA", at positions 116 to 779 of the family's 1533-position model. The record is from RNAcentral. Lineage: Bacteria; Bacillati; Cyanobacteriota; Cyanophyceae; Leptolyngbyales; Leptolyngbyaceae. RNAcentral also lists the same sequence under 1 other name.
CGCGUAGAAUCUGCCUUCAGGAGGGGGAUAACGACUAGAAAUGGUCGCUAAUACCCCAUAUGCCUAUGGGUGAAAUGAGUUUUGCCUGAAGAUGAGCUCGCGUCAGAUUAGCUAGUUGGUGAGGUAACGGCUCACCAAGGCGACGAUCUGUAGCUGGUCUGAGAGGAUGAUCAGCCACACUGGGACUGAGACACGGCCCAGACUCCUACGGGAGGCAGCAGUGGGGAAUUUUCCGCAAUGGGCGAAAGCCUGACGGAGCAAGACCGCGUGAGGGAUGACGGCCUAAUGGUUGUAAACCUCUUUUAUUCGGGAAGAUAAUGACGGUACCGAAUGAAUCAGCCUCGGCUAACUCCGUGCCAGCAGCCGCGGUAAUACGGAGGAGGCAAGCGUUAUCCGGAAUUAUUGGGCGUAAAGCGUCCGUAGGUGGUUAUACAAGUCAGCUGUUAAAGAGUGGUGCUUAACACCAUAAAGGCGGUUGAAACUGUAGGACUAGAGUUUGGUAGGGGUUGCGGGAAUUCCCAGUGUAGCGGUGAAAUGCGUAGAUAUUGGGAAGAACACCGGUGGCGAAAGCGCGCGACUGGACCUGAACUGACACUGAGGGACGAAAGCUAGGGGAGCGAAAGGGAUU